ACAACUUUCAACAACGGAUCUCUUGGUUCUGGCAUCGAUGAAGAACGCAGCGAAAUGCGAUAAGUAGUGUGAAUUGCAGAAUUCAGUGAAUCAUCGAAUCUUUGAACGCACAUUGCGCCCCUUGGUAUUCCAUGGGGCAUGCUUGUUCGAGCGUCAUU
RNAcentral lists this ribosomal RNA (158 nucleotides) under Dematiopleospora mariae. RNAcentral describes it as "5.8S ribosomal RNA". It matches the Rfam family "5.8S ribosomal RNA". From Rfam's summary of the family: 5.8S ribosomal RNA (5.8S rRNA) is a component of the large subunit of the eukaryotic ribosome. It is transcribed by RNA polymerase I as part of the 45S precursor that also contains 18S and 28S rRNA. The record is from RNAcentral. RNAcentral also lists the same sequence under 4 other names. Lineage: Eukaryota; Fungi; Ascomycota; Dothideomycetes; Pleosporales; Phaeosphaeriaceae.